AUACGGUAGGGGGCAAGCGUUGUCCGGAAUUAUUGGGCGUAAAGGGUGCGUAGGCGGCCUUUCAAGUUGGAUGUGAAAUCCCCGUGCUUAACAUGGGAAUUGCAUUCAAAACUGGAGGGCUUGAGUGUGGAAGAGGUAAGUGGAAUUCCCAGUGUAGCGGUGAAAUGCGUAGAUAUUGGGAGGAACACCAGUGGCGAAGGCGACUUACUGGGCCACAACUGACGCUGAUGCACGAAAGCGUGGGGAGC
This 248-nucleotide ribosomal RNA is filed under the name uncultured bacterium. RNAcentral describes it as "partial 16S ribosomal RNA". It matches the Rfam family "Bacterial small subunit ribosomal RNA", at positions 523 to 769 of the family's 1533-position model. The record is from RNAcentral.